AGGGAGGGAGGGAGCGGCGAGGGCGGGGCCGACGCUCCUGUCUCCCUAUAUGGAGGGGACCCAGAACAAGCGGGGAGGCCCUCCUGACUCAGGGGAGGCGAAACGCACUCCCAAGACAACUCCCAAGGUGGGCGGCUGGGAAAGCAGAAUGGCCUGAGCCAGUCCUGGACUGAGGGAUGAAGACAGCUGUGUCCUUCCUCACAAGGAGGGGGCCGUCUUCGAGGCCCUUUCUGCCUGGGUGAUGGGAGGCUCACUCCCCGAUUGGGGCCUGAAUGAUGAGGGACACAAGGAGUUUACUUUGCCGGGGCCGGAUGAGAAGAGAAAACCUAAAAACCUUGUUAGCCACAGCGCCGCCCCCGACGACCACUGAGGCAAGACAAGGGCGAAAGUGCAAUAGUCUACCGCGUGUUAGGAGAAAAAAGCACCUAGGCCCUGGCUGCCACAUUUACUCCCUCUUCCCCUCCAGACUCUGCAACCUCUUCCCAGCCACACCCCCCUUAGCCCUCCUCGAGUCCUGGUCCUGUUCUGGGCAGGGCUCCCCAAGAAGAUACCGAGCGAGCCCUUGGCCACACUCUCCAGGACCGAGACCAACUCCUUUUCUUGUGCCCUUGAUGCCCUCCCCUCCCUAUCUGUCUGUCUGAUCUCUAUUUCCAGCCCUGGGCGCCUUCCUCUCCCGAGGCCAGAUGAACGUCCCCCACCAGAGUCAGUAUAUUUCACAAGCAUUGCAAAUUCAAGGCAUCUACAAACCUUCCGGUUUUCUUUCCAAAAACCCAGAUCUCUUUGGUGCUUCCCCAUUUCUGUUGAGAACACUGCCAUCACCCCAGUCACCAAGGUUUGAAAUCUCAGAGUCACAAAGUGGGAGAGACCUCAGAGGACUCCUCACCUGACCCACAUCCCAAAGGAAUCCUCACUAGAAGAAACCUGGCAAACGGUUGGCUUUGCUUUAGGACCUCGAAUGAGACCAAGUUGACUGGCAGGCCACUUGGGGAUGGCUCCAGUUAUCGGGAAGUCUUUCCCGCCAUGAAGGAGCCUCAGCCUCCAUCUCUGUCCCCAGUUCUGAGUUCUGCUCUCCGAGGGCCAAGCAGAACUAACAGCCUAAUCUGUUUUCCACAAGAUAGCCCUUCAGAUAUGGAAACAAGCUUUCCCGUCUUCCCCUGUUCUGCACCCCCCAUCCCCCCCCUCAGUGUUUUCUGUUCUCCAGGCUAAACAUCCUCUGCUUCUUAAACUGAUCCCCAUGUGACAUAAACUCGAGGCCCUACCCUGCCACACAAGUCCUUCUUAAACUACAGUGCCCGGAAGUGGAGAUAAUCCUGAAGAUGUGGCGCGACCAGGGCGAAAUGGAGUUGGCAUCCCAAUGUGAGCUGGUUCCCAGAGCUUGGAGGCCAUUCAGUCACCAAAUCUCUAUGGGUCCACCACUGUCGAUGUCUUCCCCCAUCCUUCACUUUAUUGUGUUGAUUCAGCCCAGAAUUCUAACCUAACUCUUUGGGGGGAUUCUGACUCUGUACUUCUAGCUUUGUGUCAUCUCCAGAUCUGCUGAGCAUCCAAACGUUUUUGUUCAAUUCACCUGAUAAAGAAAGGUGAAGCAGCCAAGGGCUCAGCACAGAGCCCUGGGGCACUCCAUUGGAGACCCCCCUACCAAGCUGACAUUGAACCCUUACAGAUUUCUUUUAGGCUCUGGCCAGCCAGCUAGUUCUGAAUCCAUUUGAAAAGUGUGUUAUUGUCUAGUUCAUGCCUCUCCAUCUCCUCCUUAAGAAAACUCUGAGACACAUCACCAAAUGUCAGCAAAUUCUAUCUACAGCAUUCCUGACGACACCAGGUCAGUAAUCAUAUGAAAAGGCGGCAUUGUACUUAGUCUGGCUUGUUCUAUGCUUGAGGAAGCCAGUCUUGUGCUCUGAAAUCACCACUUCCCUUUGAAGGUGGAUGUCCCCCACUCAACUCAUUGGCCUGUGUCUUGCAGCCUGGUUGGCUCUGUUCCUUCCUGGAAGAUCAGAAUGCUUGCCUUUUCUCUCCAAUCUGCUGGUACCUCAUCCAUUUCCCAUUAUCUUCCAAAUAUCAGGGACAGUGGCUCAGCAAUUAUGUCUGCCACUUCUUCCAAGACCCAAAGAUGCCAUUCGCACUAACCAGGUGACAAGAGCAACUUGGCAUUGUCUUACUGUCUCCUUGGCUUAAGUGACAAUAGCUCCCAGUUAGCCAUUUCUGUCUGGAAGGUCGUGUUCCUUGGCUGAGAAAAAAAGCAGCUUCAACACAUCUAAAACACACAUCUGACUGCGUCACUUUCCUAGUCACAAUUCCUCUUUCCUCUAGAAUCCAAAUCAAACUCUUCGGGUUGGCUUUUCCAGCCCUUUCCAACUUACCUGCAAUUACCUUUCCACGUCUCUGAGACGUGGGCUUCAAUGGGCUGGCAUCCCCCCGUUCCUGGCCUACUUUUUCUUCCCCUCUGCUAUGCCAAUCCCCAUUCUCAUCAAGGCUUAGCUCAGAUGCCGUAGCUUUCCUGCAUGAAGCUUCCAUGCCUUCCCUGAUCUCCCCCAGGGAUUACUUCAAAUUCGUCUUUGUCUACCCUUAACCCCUGAACCUCUAGUCCUAUAGCACUAUAUUUGUCAUCAGACUCUUAACUCCUACCGGAGCUAUCGGAUCCCUUUUCUCACUGGUGAGUUCCUGUAGGAAACUCCAUCCUCAUUUGGAGAAAAGGCUCAGACCAAUCCUGCCUCCCUUUCUAGACUCUGCUAGUCCCCUCUUGUGCCCUUUUUGUCUCAUCUUCGGUUGCUUGUUCCCCACCCCCAGCCCAGCUAUUCCACCGAGCUGGGACUUAACACAGAGUAGGAGCUUCAAAUAUGCUCCCUGACUUUGACUGGUGCACAAGCACAUCGUGUCUGUUAGACAAAAUUGGGAGACAGUGACAGAAAGGCACAUCCCAGCUGGAGGGAAGGCGGAGCUUAAGUUACUGGGCAGCUUGGGAGCCCCCUGUCACUAGACAUCUGUUUGUGGAAACUUUAGCUCCAGCUGAAGGCUAGUCGCUGCUCAGGUCCAGGGUGGGCUCCGCAUUCCUCACCUCAGACACUUACCAAGCGAUCCGGAACAAGUCGCUUCGCCUGUCUGCCACAGUCUCCUCAACUAUAAGGAUGCUGCCUCCCCCCCUCUCCGUGGAAUGUGAACCCCUGGAAGGCAGGAUCCAUCUUUUUUGGUGGCCCAAAAGCAGAGCUGAGUGGAGCACAGGUUCUGCUGGCUGACAUACAGGAAGAACUGAAUAAAUGCUUGGUGGAUGGAAGCGAUCGAGACUGUCCCAAACUUUUUUACAGAGUUCUGGGGCCCCAGCUGCUUGCCUUGGCCAGCUCUACCCCAGGGAGGUGUUUCCAAGACUGCCACCCAACCCCCUCCAGGCCCUCUCCUUCACAUCGCUGUGUGGGUAGCAUGUCACCUGGUGGCAGUGCACACUGGUGUUUGCCUGUUGUAUGCUCUUCGUACUGGAGGAGGACCGAAAUGGCAUCACGAUGUUGGGGUCAAGGUACAGUGCAUUCGGCUGGGGCUGAUCAGACCAACACGAGCUCAGGUGGAGCACAGAUAGUCCGUGUGAACGUCUGGAAUGCGGAUAGCUCGAAUCGCGCAUCUCACUCUUGUUUUGAGUGGCUACAGUUUUGCUUCACUCAGACAGCACAGCACCUUCUUUGAUGCAGGCACACCAUGCUGGACAGUCUUUUACCAGUGUCUCCCACAUCAUGAAACCAAUUCCAAAAUUGUUCAGAGAGACCUUGAGAGUGUCCUUUUAUCACUUCUGACUUCCGUGUGAGCGCCUGCCUUGCGUGAAUUCUCCGUAAAAUUGUCUUUCAGGCAAAUGUAUGGCAUUCGAACAACACGGCCAGCCCAUCAGAGUUUCGAUCUCUGCAGUAGAGUCUGACUGUUCGGCAGUUCAGCUCAAGAAAGGACCUUGGUGUCUGAUACUUUAUCUUGCCAGGUGAUCUUCAGAAUCUUUCUGAGACUAUUCGAGUGAAAGCAGCUCAGCUGCUUCUCUGUGAUCCCACAGAGAAUCUUAGGAAAAUAAUAUUCUAAACUGUUGUUGCCCUUACUGACAUCUCCCACCGCGCCAAGAUAAUCUCAUUCAGUGGCUGAUAUGGUUUCUAGGCUCUUGGCCUUCUUGUUGGGGAAAUUACUGAAUGCCAGUUCAGCAUCUAGAGAGGAAGUGGAAAUUCUGCCUUUCAGUGUCUGUGCCUUUAAUCCAUUUCUGUAUUUUUGAUUCUUUAGGUUAAAUGGGAGCUCUUUAAAUAUCAGCCACCCUUUCUUUCUUGUUCUUCUCA
Non-coding RNA from Phascolarctos cinereus (koala), 4289 nucleotides. Lineage: Eukaryota; Metazoa; Chordata; Mammalia; Diprotodontia; Phascolarctidae. The record is from RefSeq and is a predicted model, not a curated record.